Molecule: ribosomal RNA, 720 nt
Filed under: uncultured bacterium
Lineage: Bacteria
Description: bacterial SSU rRNA
Rfam family: Bacterial small subunit ribosomal RNA
Source: RNAcentral
UAUGCAACCUACCUUCAACUGGGGGAUAGCCUUCCGAAAGGGAGAUUAAUACCGCAUAAUAUAAUUGAGUGGCAUCACUUGAUUAUCAAACGUCAGGGUUGAAGAUGGGCAUGCGUCCGAUUAGUUAGUUGGUGAGGUAACGGCUCACCAAGGCUACGAUCGGUAGGGGAUCUGAGAGGAUGGCCCCCCACACUGGUACUGAGACACGGACCAGACUCCUACGGGAGGCAGCAGUAAGGAAUAUUGGUCAAUGGACGGAAGUCUGAACCAGCCAUGCCGCGUGCAGGAAGACGGUCCUCUGGAUUGUAAACUGCUUUUGUUAGGGAAGAAACUUCCGUACGUGUACGGGACUGACGGUACCUAAAGAAUAAGGAUCGGCUAACUCCGUGCCAGCAGCCGCGGUAAUACGGAGGAUCCAAGCGUUAUCCGGAUUUAUUGGGUUUAAAGGGUGCGUAGGCGGCGUUGUAAGUCAGUGGUGAAAGUUUGCAGCUUAACUGUAAAAUUGCCAUUGAUACUGCAGUGCUUGAGUAUAGAUGAGGUGGGCGGAAUGUGUCAUGUAGCGGUGAAAUGCAUAGAUAUGACACAGAACACCGAUUGCGAAGGCAGCUCACUAAACUAUAACUGACGCUGAGGCACGAAAGCGUGGGGAUCAAACAGGAUUAGAUACCCUGGUAGUCCACGCCCUAAACGAUGAUUACUCGAUGUUAGCGAUACACUGUU